UCCCUGGUGGCUCAGAUGGUAAAGCGUCUGCCUGCAAUGCGGGAGACCUGGGUUUGAUCCCUGGGUUGGGAA
Molecule: transfer RNA, 72 nt
Organism: Ovis aries (sheep)
Lineage: Eukaryota; Metazoa; Chordata; Mammalia; Artiodactyla; Bovidae
Rfam family: tRNA
About the family: Transfer RNA (tRNA) molecules are approximately 80 nucleotides in length. Their secondary structure includes four short double-helical elements and three loops (D, anti-codon, and T loops). Further hydrogen bonds mediate the characteristic L-shaped molecular structure. tRNAs have two regions of fundamental functional importance: the anti-codon, which is responsible for specific mRNA codon recognition, and the 3' end, to which the tRNAs corresponding amino acid is attached (by aminoacyl-tRNA synthetases). tRNAs cope with the degeneracy of the genetic code in two manners: having more than one tRNA (with a specific anti-codon) for a particular amino acid; and 'wobble' base-pairing, i.e. permitting non-standard base-pairing at the 3rd anti-codon position.
Source: Rfam